CAUGCAAGUCGAACGAUGAAGCCUUAGCUUGCUAAGGUGGAUUAGUGGCGCACGGGUGAGUAAUAUAUAGAUAAUGUGCCCCUUAGUCUGGGAUAGCCAUUGGAAACGAUGAUUAAUACUAGAUACUCCUUUUAAGCCUAAGCUUAUUUGGGAAAGUUUUUUCGCUAAGGGAUCAGUCUAUAUCGCAUCAGUUAGUUGGUGGGGUAAUGGCCUACCAAGACAAUGACGCGUAGCGGGUUUGAGAGGAUGAUCCGCCACACUGGUACUGAGACACGGACCAGACUCCUACGGGAGGCAGCAGUGAGGAAUAUUGCACAAUGGGGGAAACCCUGAUGCAGCAACGCCGCGUGGAGGAUGACGCAUUUCGGUGUGUAAACUCCUUUUAUGAGUCAAGAAAAUGACGGUAGCUCAUGAAUAAGCACCGGCUAACUCCGUGCCAGCAGCCGCGGUAAUACGGAGGGUGCAAGCGUUACUCGGAAUCACUGGGCGUAAAGGACGCGUAGGCGGGUUAUCAAGUCAGGUGUGAAAUCCCUACAGCUUAACUGUAGAACUACACUUGAAACUGGUAACCUAGAGUAUGGGGAGGGGGAGAUGGAAUUA
Molecule: ribosomal RNA, 600 nt
Filed under: uncultured Campylobacterota bacterium
Lineage: Bacteria; Pseudomonadati; Campylobacterota
Description: bacterial SSU rRNA
Rfam family: Bacterial small subunit ribosomal RNA
Source: RNAcentral